RNAcentral lists this ribosomal RNA (462 nucleotides) under uncultured bacterium. RNAcentral describes it as "partial 16S ribosomal RNA". It matches the Rfam family "Bacterial small subunit ribosomal RNA", at positions 28 to 507 of the family's 1533-position model. The record is from RNAcentral.
GACGAACGCUGGCGGCGUGCUUAACACAUGCAAGUCGAACGGUAAGGCCCUUCGGGGUACACGAGUGGCGAACGGGUGAGUAACACGUGGGUAAUCUGCCCUGCACUUCGGGAUAAGCCUGGGAAACUGGGUCUAAUACCGGAUAUUCAGUUCCUGCCGCAUGGUGGGGGUUGGAAAGUUUUUCGGUGCAGGAUGAGCCCGCGGCCUAUCAGCUUGUUGGUGGGGUAAUGGCCUACCAAGGCGACGACGGGUAGCCGGCCUGAGAGGGUGAUCGGCCACACUGGGACUGAGACACGGCCCAGACUCCUACGGGAGGCAGCAGUGGGGAAUAUUGCACAAUGGGCGAAAGCCUGAUGCAGCGACGCCGCGUGAGGGAUGACGGUCUUCGGAUUGUAAACCCCUUUCAGUAGGGACGAAGCGAAAGUGACGGUACCUGCAGAAGAAGCACCGGCCAACUACGUG